Molecule: ribosomal RNA, 432 nt
Filed under: Paramunida lophia
Lineage: Eukaryota; Metazoa; Arthropoda; Malacostraca; Decapoda; Munididae
Description: partial 16S ribosomal RNA
Rfam family: Bacterial large subunit ribosomal RNA (bases 309-432)
Source: RNAcentral
UCAUUAGCUUUUUAAUUGAAGGCUUGUAUGAAGGGUCUGACAAAGAAAAAGCUGUCUUUAAUUUUAUUUUUGAAUUUAACUUUUAAGUGAAAAGGCUUAAAUAAGUUUAAGGGACGAUAAGACCCUAUAAAUCUUUAUAUUAUAUUAUUAUCUUGAGUAAUAAUAAUUUGUCUAGAUUAACAAGUAAAAUAAUAAAUAUUUUGUUGGGGUGACAAGAAUAUAAAAAAACUGUUCUUAAAUAAAACAAAGUUGUUUGUUUAAAAAUUUAUAGAUCCUUUUUAAAGAUUAAGAGAUUAAGUUACUUUAGGGAUAACAGCGUUAUUUUUUUUGAGAGUUCUUAUCGAAAAAAAAGUUUGCGACCUCGAUGUUGAAUUAAAAUUUCUCUACGGUGAAGAAGUUGUAGAAGAAAGUCUGUUCGACUUUUGAAAUUUU